Molecule: long non-coding RNA, 664 nt
Organism: Helianthus annuus (common sunflower)
Lineage: Eukaryota; Viridiplantae; Streptophyta; Magnoliopsida; Asterales; Asteraceae
Exons: 3
Source: RefSeq, a predicted model, not a curated record
CCCAAAAUACGGUUCACCCACUUUCCCCCUCUACUCCUUUUUCACCAAAACUGAUUCACAUUCCCUUCUUAAUUUCUUCACCUCACUCCUCAAAUUCUUUCAUAUUUGCGCACCUUCUACUUCCCUCCCCAAAUCCAAACAUAUUUCUUGAUAUGGUUUGAUUGAUUCUUAUCUAAUGACUGGUGAUGAUGGUUGUUAUUUGUUAAUUUUUGUCUAUUUGUUGAAUGUGCAUAGGUAUAUAUGACAUAUCAACUUGGCUACUUAGAUGGAUGGUUUGCAAUUUAGCGAAAGUGGAGAGACAACAUGAAGAUUGAAAAGCUUUUCAUGUUUGUCGCUGCUGGAGUUUUUAAGCAACAACAAACGUUGCAAGGUUACAAUUUGGACUGGAUUUGGGCAUGUCCUGUUUAUUUCAGGUACUGUAUGAACCGAAGACCAAUACCUGGAUUAAUUGAAGACCAAUGACCAAUUGGUUCACACUUAAAGUUAAGCGAGUCUAGUAUUGGGUACAUAAUUAUGCCAUAAUGGAGAGAUCCGAAGAAAACAUGAGGUUAUACGCUCAAGUGCCAAGUUAGAAUAUGGUUUCAUAUAAGCUUAACAUAUUGUAUUGAUUUUGGAUAAUUUAGUUCUUUAUUGUGAUAUAUUUGGAUAAGUUGGAAGUUGGAUA